UAUAUAGAAUUUCAAAAUAUUAAAGAAGGUGAAAAAGAAAGCCGAAAGACGAUGCGCAAACAAAAGAGUAUAAAUUCAGUGAUGAUGGUAGUCUUGAUAUUUGGAUAGAGCAAAAAUUGGAAUUGUAUAUGCCAAGAUUUUCCUAAGAUUGCCAAAGUCGUGUACAAUUUGAACUUCAAUAUUGUUCCAAAAUAAAAGUAAUAGACACGGAAAAUGUAUUAUUUAAAAAUACAGGACAGGAAACGAAAAGGUUAAAGCUAUUGGAAACACCUUUGAUCGCUCGCCAGAUAUCCCGCGCGAAGCUUGAAAACUUGAAAACAACUUGCGAAAACAGAGCACGGUUCGUAAUUAAAUGAGUAAGAAAAAUUACUGUUGAGUAUAGAACCUUGUUUGUAUUUAUUUGGCAUAUUGAAGAAGGGCAGUAGGCUCUUUAUAUACCUACCGUGAGAAGCCUCAGCAUAGAGAUCCAUUUUCGGUCGGUCAAAGAGUUCAGCCCAUUUGAUUAUCUAAAGCAUAGUAUUCCAAUUUGAGGCAUCAAAAGCGAAUUCUUUAUCUUUAAUAAAUCCAUAGAAUAUCUUUUUGAUGGGUAAUCUGCGAAGUAAAUACGUAAAGAAAUUUUGGUGUUUAACGACUGUUUGACUUCAUAUAUCGCGGUCGUUUAUAUUAAUUGAUGAGCGCAUUGCAAAGAAAAUUUCUUUUUAGAUUUUGUACUCGUGAACAAUUGUGCUGAUGCGCUGAAGUUUUACUUUAUAAAUCGCAGCCUAUAUACGAGAGUUUGGUUUGAAUUGCACUCGGUAUAUUAUGGAAUUGGUACACUAGCCGUUAGUCAUAUCUUCCUUUAUAUAUAAUUUAUAAAAAUACUCUUUCCUGUAAUCUAAUUCCAUCCUUUACUUCUCUAAACCCGAAAACGAAAUCAGUAAACAUUAACGCGUACA
Schizosaccharomyces pombe (fission yeast) is the source of this 935-nucleotide non-coding RNA. NCBI's taxonomy places the organism in Eukaryota, Fungi, Ascomycota, Schizosaccharomycetes, Schizosaccharomycetales, Schizosaccharomycetaceae. The record is from the annotation of a GenBank genome assembly.